RNAcentral lists this transfer RNA (72 nucleotides) under Phrynosoma platyrhinos (Desert horned lizard). Its description in RNAcentral is "tRNA-OTHER". The record is from RNAcentral. Lineage: Eukaryota; Metazoa; Chordata; Lepidosauria; Squamata; Phrynosomatidae.
GCCAGCAUGGCAUAAUGGUUUGAGUGUUGGAUUGCGACUCUGGAGACCAGGGUUCGAUUCCCUGCUUAGCCA